UCAGGGGCAAGAUGAGCACCAAAGAAGUGGAUGAACAAAUGAUCAAUGUCCAGAACAAGAACUCUUCAUACUUUGUUGAAUGGAUACCCAACAAUGUUAAAUCAAGUGUUUGUGACAUUCCACCUAGGGGUCUUUCCAUGGCAUCAACCUUCAUUGGUAACUCUACCUCAAUUCAAGAGAUGUUCAGGCGGGUGAGCGAGCAGUUCACAGCUAUGUUCAGGAGGAAGGCUUUCUUGCAUUGGUACACUGGGGAAGGCAUGGACGAAAUGGAGUUCACCGAAGCUGAGAGCAACAUGAAUGACCUUGUGUCUGAAUAUCAGCAGUACCAGGAUGCAACAGCUGAUGAGGAAAUUGACUAUGAAGAUGAGGAGGAACCUGAACAAGAUAUGUAAGUCGAUCAUAAUAUAUUGCUGAGUGCUGCUCUGCCAUUCCGUUAUGGUAAAAUGUGCCUAAAUAUUUUUCUACUACUUGAGGUUGAGCCAUGGGAAUUGUUUGAUGUCUUUUCUGUGUGACGAUUAGCGGGCAAAUAGUAGUAGUUGAGUCCCCA
RNAcentral lists this long non-coding RNA (547 nucleotides) under Vitis vinifera (wine grape). RNAcentral describes it as "long non-coding RNA (VVIN_LNC001875)". Lineage: Eukaryota; Viridiplantae; Streptophyta; Magnoliopsida; Vitales; Vitaceae. The record is from RNAcentral.